This 455-nucleotide unclassified non-coding RNA is filed under the name uncultured Bordetella sp. RNAcentral's name for it is "partial 16S-23S ribosomal RNA intergenic spacer". It matches the Rfam family "Bacterial small subunit ribosomal RNA", at positions 10 to 468 of the family's 1533-position model. Lineage: Bacteria; Pseudomonadati; Pseudomonadota; Betaproteobacteria; Burkholderiales; Alcaligenaceae. The record is from RNAcentral.
GGUUCGAUCAUGGCUCAGAUUGAACGCUGGCGGGAUGCUUUACACAUGCAAGUCGAACGGCAGCACGGACUUCGGUCUGGUGGCGAGUGGCGAACGGGUGAGUAACGUAUCGGAACGUGCCUAGUAGCGGGGGAUAACUACGCGAAAGCGUAGCUAAUACCGCAUACGCCCUUCGGGAAAGCGGGGACCUUCGGGCCUCGCACUAUUAGAGCGGCCGAUAUCGGAUUAGCUAGUUGCGUAACGGCUCACCAAGGCGACGAUCCGUAGCUGGUUUGAGAGGACGACCAGCCACACUGGGACCGAGACACGGCCUGUGACUCCUACGGGAGGCAGCAGUGAGGAAUUUUGGACAAUGGGGGAAACCCUGAUCCAGCCAUCCCGCGUGUGCGAUGAAGGCCUUCUGGUUGUAAAGCACUUUUGGCAGGAAGAAACGGCAGGACGGGAUAAUACCCCGU